This 194-nucleotide ribosomal RNA is filed under the name uncultured bacterium. Its description in RNAcentral is "partial 16S ribosomal RNA". It matches the Rfam family "Bacterial small subunit ribosomal RNA", at positions 1309 to 1500 of the family's 1533-position model. The record is from RNAcentral.
AACUCGACUACAUGAAGCUGGAAUCGCUAGUAAUCGCGAAUCAGAAUGUCGCGGUGAAUACGUUCCCGGGUCUUGUACACACCGCCCGUCACACCAUGGGAGUCAGUAACGCCCGAAGCCGGUGACCCAACCAGUUCAGGAGGGAGCCGUCGAAGGUGGGACCGAUAACUGGGGUGAAGUCGUAACAAGGUACC